This is a non-coding RNA of Pelobates cultripes (western spadefoot toad), 269 nucleotides long. The record is from the annotation of a GenBank genome assembly. Lineage: Eukaryota; Metazoa; Chordata; Amphibia; Anura; Pelobatidae.
UGCAGGGGUGUCCCAGGGCAAAGGGGUAGGAGGGGUGGUCACAGUCGGGUUAAGUCUUACCUGAGCCUCCCGCACUGGUGAAGGGUCUCGUACUCGUCCUGCUUGUGACCGGGUGGUCACGGGAUGUGCCUCAGCGUUGUAAGAAGGGGCAUAAGCUGAAGUCAUAGGUCCCAGGUCGUUUCCCAGCAAAACUUCGGCUGGCAAAUUAUCCAUAAUUCCCACCCUCACAAGUCCUUUUCCCGCACCCCAAUCCAAGUGUACCUUUGCUG